This is a long non-coding RNA of Epinephelus fuscoguttatus (brown-marbled grouper), 2914 nucleotides long. RefSeq lists it as uncharacterized. The transcript has 5 exons. Lineage: Eukaryota; Metazoa; Chordata; Actinopteri; Perciformes; Serranidae. The record is from RefSeq and is a predicted model, not a curated record.
CUGCACUCUUAUGGAAGUUGCCGCAAACAGGUCAAAUGAAGUUAAUUGAAAAGUAUUAAGCAAGAUUCAGUCACCGUCAUGGCACUAGUUACGAAUGGACACGUCUGAGAAAAACAAAUAAGUGAGGAAACAACAAAAUCCUUGAGGAGACCUGUCGACAAACAAAAUGGCUGCCAACAUGGAUACUCCCUUUCAGUGAAAUGAAGGAGAAAUGACUUGGUCGUCAAAUAAGGACUGGUGUGUAGGAUUUGGUGGCAUCUGGCACUGAGGUUCCAAAUUGAAACCAAAUAAAUACCCCUGCCCUCACUGCUGCCUUUCCAAGUGUGUGUGCGAACCUUCAGGACUUCCUUUAAAGGAAAAGGGGACGAACUCAGGGGAAAUGUGAGGUGAUGAUGAGAUUGCUAUUAAAGCUAAGUGUUGGGGAACAGAAGAAUGAUCACCUCGCCAAUAGAAGAGUGUGCAGCAGUUUCGAAGAAGGACCCCCAGUCGGCAGCUAGAGCAACCCAAAUCCAGCCAGCGCAAACCCCAGCUCCAGGCGACUGGAUAGCCCCAACUCCCCGCCAGAUAUGCUGCUUUUGUUACACAGGAUAGACCCGGUGCUGCCACUAGCCACCAACCCACUGUGACACCUGGUGCUGGGGUAUUUAUGUUUGCCAAAUUCAGGCUGUCUCUGAGCUGCUGCCUGCUUUCCUCCCAGUCCACAGCAGCAGGGACUGAGGCGGAGGGACUGUGGGGUGGCUAACCUCCUAAUUCUUGUCUCAUUUGUGGUCAGAUGAGCAGAGACAGACAGAGAGAGGGUGGGGCAAGGAGGGGCUGAGUGAAUGCACAGCACCCAAGCACCCAACUCGACCAACGAACUAAGUAAUAUGUUGUUUUCAGCAGAUCAUCUGGAGGCAUGUUUACUAUGCACUGUACUCAUCACUGACAGUUUUCUGUAAACGCCCUGUGGAUAUGCUGAAUGUUUUCAACUUCUCCAUUUUGGCAGCAGUGGUCUGGCAAAUUGAUUUUCCUUGCCACAAUAGGAGGGAGUGGAAAUAAAAGUUGAUUACAUCAUUAAGUACAACUGACCCUCGCUUACUGACAAACAGUAUCUGAUUGUGCCUCUUAGAUUUCAAGCACUUUGUGGCCCAAUAAGGCAGCUACUGGCUGUAGGUGCUAAUUUGUGGAUCCAAGUUAAUCCUCAUAUCAUCCAUUACAAACACUAUCACAUGGAGGGAUCUAUUAUACAAACGGUGCCCACUUUGUAUAAGGUUUAAUAGCUUUAACUCUGCCUUUAGUAGGGUUAAAGGAUUACUUGCACAUGUUUUUAAGUGUCAAAAUAUACUUAAUUUACUUAAAUUAAACUGCUGCCCAACUGAGACUCCACUGACUGUUGAGGCAGACUCUUUAAAGCUUGUUUUGUGACAACACAGAGCUCAUUUAAUGGUCAGCACCCUGUGUUUGUACUGUUAAUGAUGCUAUUAAAUUAAAUGUGAUGCAGAAUAGGCCAGCCAUUGCAGAGAUGAAGGUUAUGACUCUGCAUUUGAGCCCACAGCUGAGACGCAGCAGCGCAUGAGAUAGCACUUUCAUUAGUGCUGUCUCUAAUAAAGUGCACAUCAUCAUACAUUGCUGGGAAAAUUAUUGAUUUAGCGUUGAGAAUCCAAUGUGACACUCACAGAAGUGAGGUGGUCACAAACAGAAUGCCCAGAAGUCAUACUGAGACAACAAAAUGGCGAAUCGCUGGAUGAUGAGUCAUUUGUGGGUUGAAUCCAUCCAUCCAUCCAUCCUUACUUCCUUAUUUUUCCUAUUGUAUUUGUCUCCAAGAUCAACUGGCCAUCUGUCAAAACUAGUUUUCACUGGCCUUUGCAGUGUAUGGUACCCAACAGCAGGUUUGAUGUCAAGCAGAAGCUAAAGGUUGUUUGCAACCAGGACAUCUGAAAAGGUUCCUGGCUGCUGUUCACAUGUGUUAUCACUUUAUACAUCCCCUGUGUGUAAUUCAUUUAAUGUACUGGACACAGGGUUUCAGUGGCUAUUCUGCUGCCAUGGGGUCGAUCUUAUUAAAAUGUGAUUGCAGCUCAUGUAACAGGCAUGGUAAAUGGUUAUUAGGUCCAUCCCCCAAUUAGUCAUCAGUCACAGAUGUUUUUUCUUCUUGUUGUUGCUACAUUUUAGACCAAAUUUAUGAUUACAGUUUCGAAAACAGAUCUCCUCAUAAUGGCCUCUGUCCAAAUUGCUUCCUGAUGACAUUAACUGAUCAAAUCCAGAAUUCUUCAAAGGACGUGUACAAUUAUGCAGUUUACUGUAUGGAAAGUCUGCUGUUUGUAUCGUCUUCCUUGCUAAUGAUGCUAAAAGUGCUCCGUAAACUCCCCUCGCUAAAAUGAUUUCAGUGAUUAGACUCUCCCCCUGAAAAAGCAUAUAUUGUUUUCUUUAAAAAAAAAAAAAUACUUUCUCUAGUUUGUCUUUUGACUUUAACAGUUUCAACGGACUGAAAAGCCCGUUGAAACGGGCACCUUAUCUAUUUAUGACAGUAGUAAUAAUCAUAAUAUUGCGAUUUUUAUUUUCUUUUAAACUCUAUGAACUGAAACAAGUUGACAACUUGGCAUCAAAAUAAGCAGCUGAGUCCAACUUGCUAUUAAUGGCACCGAUACAGAGCUUCCUGUCUACAACCUGGCAUCAAAACAGCUCAUAGUCCAUUGUAUUAUUUAUAAACCGCUGCAUGUGCACAAAAAGCCACAAGUGUGCGGAGACACAGCUAAACACAGAUCUAUAUCUGGGUGCAUAACAUUUUGACAUACUUUAGAUAAGAUUGUUGUUUUUGUAGUUGGCUGGCAUAUGCUUCAAAGCUGUAAAAGGAAAUGAUAAACCCACCCUAGUAGGUGAAAGAAAAUAGCCCAAUUUCAAGACACCUGAUGACUUUUUUUGUGCAAGACGUUCAAUU